RNAcentral lists this ribosomal RNA (465 nucleotides) under uncultured Klebsiella sp. RNAcentral's name for it is "bacterial SSU rRNA". It matches the Rfam family "Bacterial small subunit ribosomal RNA", at positions 338 to 795 of the family's 1533-position model. Lineage: Bacteria; Pseudomonadati; Pseudomonadota; Gammaproteobacteria; Enterobacterales; Enterobacteriaceae. The record is from RNAcentral.
CCUACGGGCGGCUGCAGUGGGGAAUAUUGCACAAUGGGCGCAAGCCUGAUGCAGCCACGCCGCGUGUGUGAAGAAGGCCUUCGGGUUGUAAAGCACUUUCAUCGGGGAGGAAGGCGUUCAGGUUAAUAACCUUGGCGAUUGACGUUACCCGCAGAAGAAGCCCCGGCUAACUCCGUGCCAGCAGCCGCGGUAAUACGGAGGGUGCAAGCGUUAAUCGGAAUUACUGGGCGUAAAGCGCACGCAGGCGGUCUGUCAAGUCGGAUGUGAAAUCCCCGGGCUCAACCGGGGAACGGCAUUCGAAACUGGCAGGCUAGAGUGUAGUAGAGGGGGGUAGAAUUCCAGGUGUAGCGGUGAAAUGCGUAGAGAUCUGGAGGAAUACCGGUGGCGAAGGCGGCCCCCUGGACAAAGACUGACGCUCAGGUGCGAAAGCGUGGGGAGCAAACAGGAUUAGAUACCCGUGUAGUC